UCCAGACUCCUACGGGAGGCAGCAGUGGGGAAUAUUGCACAAUGGGGGAAACCCUGAUGCAGCGACGCCGCGUGAGCGAAGAAGUAUUUCGGUAUGUAAAGCUCUAUCAGCAGGGAAGAAAAUGACGGUACCUGAGUAAGAAGCUCCGGCUAAAUACGUGCCAGCAGCCGCGGUAAUACGUAUGGAGCAAGCGUUAUCCGGAUUUACUGGGCGUAAAGGGAGCGUAGGCGGCCUGCCAAGUCUGAUGUGAAAUGCCGGGGCUCAACCCCGGGGCUGCAUUGGAAACUGGCAGGCUGGAGUGCCGGAGAGGCAGGCGGAAUUCCUAGUGUAGCGGUGAAAUGCGUAGAUAUAAGGAAGAACACCAGUGGCGAAGGCGGAUGACUGGACGGCAACUGACGGUGAGGCGCGAAAGCGUGGGGAGCAAACAGGAUUAGAUACCCGAGUAC
This 446-nucleotide ribosomal RNA is filed under the name uncultured bacterium. RNAcentral describes it as "bacterial SSU rRNA". It matches the Rfam family "Bacterial small subunit ribosomal RNA", at positions 330 to 793 of the family's 1533-position model. The record is from RNAcentral.